This 231-nucleotide ribosomal RNA is filed under the name Silene roemeri (Roemer's campion). The record is from RNAcentral. Lineage: Eukaryota; Viridiplantae; Streptophyta; Magnoliopsida; Caryophyllales; Caryophyllaceae.
UCACGCAUCGCGUCUCCCCCACAUUCCACCUUGGUGGAGGGGAAGGAGGAUGGUUUCCCGCGACUCACCGGUCGCGGCUGGCCUAAAAUCGGAGCCCUCGGCAUCGGGAUGCCGCGGCGAUAGGUGGUGAACAAGGCCUCGGCCAAGCAAGCAACCCGUCGCGCAUGCCGUGCCAAUGUGGUCUCGAAGGACCCUUUGUCGUUGUCUUUAAGGCAACCAAACCGUUGCGAC